Molecule: transfer RNA, 92 nt
Filed under: Kiritimatiellia bacterium
Lineage: Bacteria; Pseudomonadati; Kiritimatiellota; Kiritimatiellia
Also listed under: 1 other name
Description: Kiritimatiellae bacterium (gut metagenome) tRNA-Ser
Rfam family: tRNA
About the family: Transfer RNA (tRNA) molecules are approximately 80 nucleotides in length.
Source: RNAcentral
GGAGAGGUGGCAGAGCCUGGUUGAAUGCACAUGACUCGAAAUCAUGCAUACCCUCACGGGUAUCGGGGGUUCGAAUCCCUCCCUCUCCGCCA